UAAUUGAAGAGUUUGAUCAUGGCUCAGAUUGAACGCUGGCGGCAGGCCUAACACAUGCAAGUCGGGCGGUAACAGGGAGAAGCUUGCUUCUCCGCUGACGAGCGGCGGACGGGUGAGUAAUGUAUGGGGAUCUGCCUGAUGGCGGGGGAUAACUACUGGAAACGGUAGCUAAUACCGCAUAAUGUCUACGGACCAAAGCGGGGGACCUCCGGGCCUCGCGCCAUCAGAUGAACCCAUAUGGGAUUAGCUUGUAGGUAAGGUAACGGCUUACCUAGGCGACGAUCCCUAGCUGGUCUGAG
This 299-nucleotide ribosomal RNA is filed under the name Morganella morganii subsp. morganii. RNAcentral's name for it is "partial 16S ribosomal RNA". It matches the Rfam family "Bacterial small subunit ribosomal RNA", at positions 1 to 296 of the family's 1533-position model. The record is from RNAcentral. Lineage: Bacteria; Pseudomonadati; Pseudomonadota; Gammaproteobacteria; Enterobacterales; Morganellaceae.